UUACACCCUUGCAAUGACAACACUGAAAUAACAUACUAGAUGUUGAAAAGCAUAAGGUCUCUUCAAAUUCUCAACAUCCAGCUUGUCAUUCAUCUCUCUACACCAGUACAGUUCAAACUAAGAUACUGGAUGGCUGCUUAUUUUCAUUGUCACGUUCACUAACAACAACAAAAAAAGCAACAACAGAAAAAAUCACCUGACUGAGAAUUCACAGCACCUCUCAACACUGCCUAUAACUUCUGUAAAGGAGUCUUUCUCAAAACAAUGGUUUCCUCCUUGAAAAACCUAGAAUGCUGACCAGACACGGGAAUUUCCACCUGAAUACGAAGCCGUCACUUCUGCCUCAGCUCUGAAGACGUCACUUCUUGUCCCGGCCCCGAGGACCACGUCACUUCCUGUCCUGGCCCCGAGGACCACGUCACUUCCUGUCCUGGCCCCGAGGACCACGUCACUUCCUGUCCCGGCCCCGAGGACCACAUCACUUCCACUAACCUCCCUAUAAAAACCUACUCCCUUCUUCU
This is a long non-coding RNA of Erpetoichthys calabaricus (reedfish), 521 nucleotides long. RefSeq lists it as uncharacterized. The transcript is spliced from 3 exons. NCBI's taxonomy places the organism in Eukaryota, Metazoa, Chordata, Cladistia, Polypteriformes, Polypteridae. The record is from RefSeq and is a predicted model, not a curated record.